Non-coding RNA from Brugia malayi, 106 nucleotides. NCBI's taxonomy places the organism in Eukaryota, Metazoa, Nematoda, Chromadorea, Rhabditida, Onchocercidae. The record is from RefSeq and is a predicted model, not a curated record.
CGAUGGGAAGUUAAGUGAGUAUUUUGGCUUUCUUUGAUAUGAAUGUAACGAUUUAAUAUCAUAAUAUCAUACGAAAGCUGAAGAUACUUUCUCUUCUUGCUGUAUC